GGGGAUGACCUGUUUUGACAAGAGAAUAAUAUUGUUCGUGCAAAACGGAAGCCACGUCCUUCCUUAAAAACGUGAUCUUUUACGUGCAGAUUCAAUAGCACAAAAGGUAAAGUCACUUACUUCUCCGUAUUUUGCGCAGAAGGACUUCUCCUUCGCUUACGCUUCUUAAUAAAAUAAGUCGCUAGCGCAUCCUACUCAUUGAUGUUUGAUAGAUGAGUUUGGGUGUCAUUACAUCAGACUAGUGUAAUAGAGUUUCCUCACUCCUUUAUGCGAAAUCAUGAGGAUCAGCAUAUGUUGUUUUGUUUAUUUAAUAGACAUGUGUGUAAUACCAAAAAAUAGACUACGUUUUGUAGAAUCGUCCUGUAUUACCUUUUGGACGGGGGUUCAUUUCCCCCCAUCUCCACCA
Molecule: transfer-messenger RNA, 406 nt
Filed under: Candidatus Wolfebacteria bacterium
Lineage: Bacteria; Candidatus Wolfeibacteriota
Rfam family: transfer-messenger RNA
About the family: Bacterial tmRNA, also known as 10Sa RNA or SsrA, is named for its dual tRNA and mRNA-like properties. Its role is to liberate the mRNA from a stalled ribosome. To accomplish this part of the tmRNA is used as a reading frame that ends in a translation stop signal.
Source: RNAcentral